UACGGAGGGAGCUAGCGUUGUUCGGAAUUACUGGGCGUAAAGCGCACGUAGGCGGUUAUUCAAGUCAGAGGUGAAAGCCCGGGGCUCAACCCCGGAACAGCCUUUGAAACUAGAUGACUGGAAUCUUGGAGAGGUCAGUGGAAUUCCGAGUGUAGAGGUGAAAUUCGUAGAUAUUCGGAAGAACACCAGUGGCGAAGGCGACUGACUGGACAAGUAUUGACGCUGAGGUGCGAAAGCGUGGGGAGCAAACAG
Molecule: ribosomal RNA, 252 nt
Filed under: uncultured bacterium
Lineage: Bacteria
Description: partial 16S ribosomal RNA
Rfam family: Bacterial small subunit ribosomal RNA
Source: RNAcentral